GGGGCGGGGGCACGGGGGGCCUACGGGAGGCAGCAGUGGGGAAUUUUCCGCAAUGGGCGAAAGCCUGACGGAGCAAUGCCGCGUGGAGGUGGAAGGCCUACGGGUCGUCAACUUCUUUUCUCGGAGAAGAAACAAUGACGGUAUCUGAGGAAUAAGCAUCGGCUAACUCUGUGCCAGCAG
Molecule: ribosomal RNA, 180 nt
Filed under: uncultured bacterium
Lineage: Bacteria
Description: partial 16S ribosomal RNA
Rfam family: Bacterial small subunit ribosomal RNA
Source: RNAcentral